RNAcentral lists this ribosomal RNA (498 nucleotides) under uncultured bacterium. Its description in RNAcentral is "bacterial SSU rRNA". It matches the Rfam family "Bacterial small subunit ribosomal RNA", at positions 29 to 524 of the family's 1533-position model. The record is from RNAcentral.
AACGAACGCUGGCGGCAUGCCUAAUACAUGCAAGUCGAACGCGAACGGGCUUCGGCCCAAGUAGAGUGGCGGACGGGUGAGUAAUGCGUGGGAAUCUACCCUCGAGCGGGGGACAACCCGGGGAAACCCGGGCUAAUACCGCAUACGUCCUACGGGAGAAAGCGGGCCUCUACACUAUGCUCGCACUCGAGGAUGAGCCCACGUCCGAUUAGCUAGUUGGUAGGGUAACGGCCUACCAAGGCCACGAUCGGUAGCUGGUCUGAGAGGAUGAUCAGCCACACUGGGACUGAGACACGGCCCAGACUCCUACGGGAGGCAGCAGUGGGGAAUAUUGGACAAUGGGCGCAAGCCUGAUCCAGCAAUGCCGCGUGUGUGAAGAAGGCCUGCGGGUUGUAAAGCACUUUCAGUGGGGAAGAACGGAUACGGGCCAAUACCCGCAUCACUGACGUUACCCACAGAAGAAGCACCGGCUAACUCCGUGCCAGCAGCCGCGGUAAU